UUCAAUGCAUUUCUUGUCAAACAAAUCACUGAGAAAAUUUCUGAAAUGCAUUGACGUUUUCCGAUCUCAGAAAGCGAUAAAUUAGUACUUAAGCUGUCACACUAAAAAACAAAAUCUUAACUGCCUGGAUGCUGGCUGAAAAAACCAGGCCUUAUCUCUUUUGUGCACUAAAUGCUCUUGGCCUUUAUUCGACUCGUCUCGUCAGUGGAGCACAGCCUGAACAACAUUAAUCAGGAUUACCUUGUCGUGUAUUUUUGCCCACCUACAAACAACCCACACACAUGUCUGAAUACCAAGGAUGAAAGGAAUUAUCCGGAGAGCUGGAAAACUGCAGAGCUGAAGUACGAGUAGCAACAGCUGCCACAUUGACGAUGCUUAAAGUGCAAAUGCAAUUUAUUCGCAACAAGCACUUGGUGCACGUGCAACAAUGGCAGGCCCAGGCAUUGGGAUUGCCUGGGCUGCGGAACAAUUUGCCCAUAAUUUCCGACUUCCCCUCGGCUAUCUGCUAUCUCCAUUCUCUCUUGCAGACUGGGGACAUUAGAGAAUGUUAAGUGAUGGGCAGCAGAACUGGAGUUUGGCAUACGGACCUCGGACAUACCUGAAAACCAGUCGACCAGGAGCAAGCUGAAUCCAUGCAGGAUGCAAGGUUGGACGCUCGCUACACACUCACUCGCUCCAAGAAUGCCAGUCAACGUUGACAAUCGACUUUUAUUGCUGUUGAAAAGGACCAAGAGCAGGGCAAAAAACAAGAGAUCGGAAAAAUCCGGAACGAGGCGAAAAAGAAACGCAUGGAUGCGCUGCAAGAAAACUUUCCAGCUCUAUAAAUUAAAAAGACAAAAAGAUUAUUUCUUUACAGAUACAAAAAUAUUCGUAAUAAUGUUUUAGAACUUAAACUUAUAAAAAUGAAUAUCAUAUACUUAA
This is a long non-coding RNA of Drosophila biarmipes, 921 nucleotides long. RefSeq lists it as uncharacterized. Lineage: Eukaryota; Metazoa; Arthropoda; Insecta; Diptera; Drosophilidae. The record is from RefSeq and is a predicted model, not a curated record. The transcript is spliced from 2 exons.